GAUGAAGAACGCAACGAAAUGCGAUAAGUAAUGUGAAUUGCAGAAUUCAGUGAAUCAUCGAAUCUUUGAACGCACAUUGCGCCCGCCAGUAUUCUGGCGGGCAUGCCUGUCCGAGCGUCAUUUCAACCCUCGAACCCCUCCGGGGGGUCGGCGUUGGGGACCUCGGGAGCCCCUAAGACGGGAUCCCGGCCCCGAAAUACAGUGGCGGUCUCGCCGCAGCCUCUCCUGCGCAGUAGUUUGCACAACUCGCACCGGGAGCGCGGCGCGUCCACGUCCGUAAAACACCCAACUUCUGAAAUGUUGACCUCGGAUCAGGUAGGAAUACCCGCUGAACUUAAGCAUAUCAAUAAGCGGAGGA
RNAcentral lists this unclassified non-coding RNA (358 nucleotides) under soil metagenome. RNAcentral describes it as "partial contains 5.8S ribosomal RNA, internal transcribed spacer 2, and large subunit ribosomal RNA". The stretch from base 1 to 120 matches the Rfam family "5.8S ribosomal RNA", at positions 35 to 154 of the family's 154-position model. The record is from RNAcentral.